Molecule: ribosomal RNA, 624 nt
Filed under: Royerella tarissani ferrierensis
Lineage: Eukaryota; Metazoa; Arthropoda; Insecta; Coleoptera; Leiodidae
Description: partial 16S ribosomal RNA
Rfam family: Bacterial large subunit ribosomal RNA (bases 384-543)
Source: RNAcentral
GUCUUAUUGAUUAUAAUUUUAAGUCUAAUCUGCCCAAUGAAUUAUUAAAUGGCUGCAGUAUUUUAACUGUACAAAGGUAGCAUAAUAAUUAGUUUCUUAAUUAGGAACUGGAAUGAAGGAUUGAACGAGAUAAUAACUGUCUUAGUUUAAAUAAAAGAAUUUUAUUUUUAAGUAAAAAAGCUUAAAUAUAUUUAAAAGACGAGAAGACCCUAUAGAAUUUUAUAAUAUAAUAUUAUAUAAAUUAUAGUAAAAUAUUUUUUUAUUUUUAUUAAAUUAUUUUGUUGGGGUGAUGGAAAAAUUUAUUUAACUUUUUUUUUAUGUUUUUCAUUAAUUUAUGUAUAUUUGAUCCAAUAGUUUUGAUUAUAAGAAUAAAUUACCUUAGGGAUAACAGCGUUAUUUUUUUAGAGAGUUCUAAUCGAUAAGAAAGAUUGCGACCUCGAUGUUGGAUUAAAGUUAAUUUUUAAUGUAGGAGUUAAAAAUAUUAAGUCUGUUCGACUUUUAAAACUUUACAUGAUCUGAGUUUAAACCGGUGUGAGCCAGGUUGGAUUCUAUCUUUAAUAUAUUAUGAUAUUUUAGUACGAAAGGACCAAAUAUCUACUAUAAUAGUUAAAAAAUAGAAUUAUA